ACUCCUACGGGAGGCAGCAGUGGGGAAUAUUGCACAAUGGGCGCAAGCCUGAUGCAGCCAUGCCGCGUGUGUGAAGAAGGCCUUCGGGUUGUAAAGCACUUUCAGUCGUGAGGAAGGUAGUGUAGUUAAUAGCUGCAGUAUUUGUACGUUAGCGACAGAAGAAGCACCGGCUAACUCCGUGCCAGCAGCCGCGGUAAUACGGAGGGUGCGAGCGUUAAUCGGAAUUACUGGGCGUAAAGCGCAUGCAGGUGGUUGUUAAGUCAGAUGUGAAAGCCCGGGGCGUCAACCUCGGAAUAGCAUUUGAAACUGGCAGACUAGAGUACUGUAGAGGGGGUAGAAUUUCAGGUGUAGCGGUGAAAUGCGUAGAGAUCUGAAGGAAUACCGGUGGCGAAGGCGGCCCCUGGACAGAUACUGACACUCAGAUGCGAAAGCGUGGGAGCAAACAGGAUUAGAUACCCCUGGUAGACUGUCA
This 472-nucleotide ribosomal RNA is filed under the name uncultured bacterium. Its description in RNAcentral is "bacterial SSU rRNA". It matches the Rfam family "Bacterial small subunit ribosomal RNA", at positions 335 to 802 of the family's 1533-position model. The record is from RNAcentral.